GGGCCGGCCGCGCCGCGCCGAACCACCGCCUCUGUCCGCUCGCCUAUGGCCCUACGCUCCCCCGGCACUGGUGUCGGCUCGGCUCCCCGUGAUUCUCCACUAUUUCUCCCAUUAACGAACAUUUCACAAAACAAAUAAUAACUGUAAUGAAAUGCGAAGUACCUAGAAUUCACAGAAAUGGCGCUGUUUGCAUUUCUGUACAGUGCAGCCCCACCUUCCUGCAAGGGACAGGACAUCAAAGCGUUUUGGAGAGGCUCUGCCCUUUGUGGCUCAUGCUCUGGCACCUGGUGUGGGAAAGGCUGUAUGAUUAUGAUGACAAAACACGUCUGACACAGCAUACGCUGAAUACCGGCUUGAUGUGAAGAGCACAUUAGGAAGGCCACUUACACUGUUGGUGAGAGCAUUAUCUGUGUUUUGAGAAUGUGCUUAGCUGCGCUCCGUCGCUUCGACACAUUUCCACUGAGUGGCCACUGACCUGUUUGUAAUCUGUUUCGCAGAAGUUUUAUUUUGAGUGCGGUCAGCCCAGAGAAUCUGUGGUAUAGGAAGUAAAAACGAUGUUGAAUGAGUGCCACCAAGUGUCUUCCUGAAGAAUACAAAAGCCCAAGUCUUUAGUGGGAGCAAAAACCAGACUGCACCAUUAACUUCUAUAAUUUUGAGUGAGACAUCUCAGAGGCAGUAAAUUCUGUUAGAGUGAGAGGAGUUGCAGUUAUUAUUCCACUGAAGUGCAAGAGCAAACUCUGGAAAGCUGAUGAAGGCGCUUAUCUGUGGAAGGGACAGAAAAAAAGAUAAUGUUGUGUAUCCAUCCUGUCUGUCUCUCUGUUCCAUUUUGCUUAUCUUCUGAGUGAGUGCUCAGCCUUGACACUGGACUAUCUGUGUCUGUGCUGUGUCAGAUGAUGGUAUGAUACACCUUAUCUUUAGCAGGGCUGGUACGUGUCACAGGAUGUCCUAACAGGUAACAUAUGUUACAGAUCUGGCUAUUAACAAGUCAAUUUUGGCCCUUCUUCUGCUACUAUUGAUCCCAAUGCUGACCGGUAUUAAUACCUCCCAUGGGGGAAAGGCUGAGACUUGUGUGUAAGAAUAUCAGAGAUUCAACAGAAGAAAAAAGCUAGGUGUUGCCAAAUGCCCUCCAAGAUGGUUUCAUCCUGA
Serinus canaria (Common canary) is the source of this 1146-nucleotide long non-coding RNA. RefSeq lists it as uncharacterized. The transcript has 3 exons. Lineage: Eukaryota; Metazoa; Chordata; Aves; Passeriformes; Fringillidae. The record is from RefSeq and is a predicted model, not a curated record.